Molecule: long non-coding RNA, 2121 nt
Filed under: Limulus polyphemus (Atlantic horseshoe crab)
Lineage: Eukaryota; Metazoa; Arthropoda; Merostomata; Xiphosura; Limulidae
Description: uncharacterized LOC111086758
Source: RNAcentral
UUUGUUAGAGGUAGGAAUGAACCUGAAGUAAAUCUAGAGUAUUUGUUAGAUAGAGAAUGAACCUGAAAUAAAGGAAAUUAGAACCUUUGUUGGAUAGAAAAUGAACCUGAAGUAAAGUAGAACCUUUGUUAGAGGUAGGAAUGAACCUGAAGUAAAUCUAGAGUAUUUGUUAGAUAGAGAAUGAACCUGAGGUAAAUGAAGUAGAACCUUUGUUGGAUAUAAAAUGAACCUGAAAUAAAAGAAAUUAGAACCUUUGUUGGAUAGAAAAUGAACCUGAAGUAAAAUAGAACCUUUGUUAGAGGUAGGAAUGAACCUGAAGUAAAGUAGAACCUUUGUUAGAGGUAGGAAUGAACCUGAAGUAAAGUAGAACCUUUGUUAGAGGUAGGAAUGAACCUGAAGUAAGAGUUUAUUUUUUCUUAAGAACUUUCCGAGGCAAAUGAAGAAAAGAAAAUCAAACACAACUAAACGUGACGACAGGCUAGAAUUUCAGUGCGCUUUAUGACAUAUGGUAUUAUGUUUAUUUUGCUACAUUUAGAUUGUAUUUUCUACCAGCGGAGAUACAUACUAAUUAACGCUUGGCGUUAAGGUGUUAGAAUGUAAUUGAAGAUGAUCUGCAUGUUUUAGUCUGCUUUCUUCUCGUAAUGUUUAUGUUAAGGACAGAAAUUUAUGAGUAUCUUUACCGAUAUAUUGUUUGUGUGGUAGUGCUUGUUCAUGAGCACAUGGUUAGCAGUGUUUAGUGUUCUGAUAAUGGUAUUCCAAAUAUUGAUAUCUUGAAUUGACUUUCGAUUUGAAUUGCUGUUCUUGACUAUAUAUAUAUAUAUAUGUCUGUUUUUGAGUGUACUUUAAACGGUUCUAUCAACGUAGUGUUAACUUUGAAUGUUUGUAACUUGUACAUAUAGUGCCUGACAUGCAUGAUUUUACACAACUAAGAAUUUGCAUACCAGAAUGGUUGAUAAGAAUACAUUACAAAAGGUAUGCUAUUUUUGGAAUUGGUAAAGCUGAAAAAUCGAAAGAUUUUCAGAUUCCAGCCGAUCACUGCGUCAUCCUGUAUAUUCUAAUACUCCACAAGUGUGUGCACUCCGUGCAGGUGGGCUCAUAGUGAGAGGUUUAGUAGUAAAUGUGCUGCGAUAUUAAUAAUGACGUGUGUACAAAAUGACUACAGGUAAGGAAUAAGCAAAGCAAAUAUAUAUAUAAUUUAACGAAAAGGUGAGAACUCCGAGUAGAAAAAAGUAGCCAUCUUCUUUAGUGUGCUUUUUAAUGGUACCAUAAGACAUAAUGCAGUUUAUAUUGAUACAAAGCAUUAAGAAAAAAUAACGAGGAAUUAGAAAACUGUAUAAUGUUGUUAAGAUUCUCUAAAUAUCCAACAAGACAGCUAAGUAUCUUCGUCAGAGAAAUACUUUGAUCGCGUUGGUCCUAACUCACAUUGCUGUUUGUUUGUCGUCGUUGUUGUUGUUGUUUUAAGUCGUUAUAAAUAGUGGUUCUCUCCUCUGAUAGGUGUAUUUUUGUAUGAUCCUUUUGAAAAAAAUAGAAUCUCUAAAAUACAGGGUCAAGUAUUAAAUAGGUGAGGUUGUAAAACAUCUGAACGAGGUUGUUGAUUAUAAAAUUUCUUGUUUGAUAGCUAGAAACAAUAUAAAGUGUAUUGUAUGUUAACUUCUUUCGUGUUAAAAGAGAUUUAGUUUUAACGGAAAGAAAGGUAUGUUCUAUAUAUUAGAAAAUUAGUUUUGUUAUAUUUUAGUCCUAUCUGCAUGUUUGUGGGUUUUGGUUGGGUUUUGUUUUGCAUAGUACAUAUAAGGUGGGGUUGAAGUAUAAACACAAAACUUAAGAAAAUCUGGUUAUCACUCUUAUACGGAAUUUCUAGUUAUUAAUAAUCGUACAGAAAUAUUUAUGAUUUAUUUCCCACAACAGAGUUUUUGUCAACCGGUUACUAUUUUUAUUCAAUGGAUGUUGAAAAUGGUGAUGAGAACAAAAACUGGUAAUUCGUUUGCCGGGGAAAAGAAACUAUACAAAAGAAAACGUUGUAUCAAUGUUGCCAGCUUAGUUGCUGUAGGAAUUUUUAUUUACGGUCAACUGAGUAAACAUAUUUUAAAAUAUCUUUUUUUUUUUUUUUCAAACGCUACGUUU